Molecule: long non-coding RNA, 1139 nt
Organism: Aegilops tauschii subsp. strangulata
Lineage: Eukaryota; Viridiplantae; Streptophyta; Magnoliopsida; Poales; Poaceae
Source: RefSeq, a predicted model, not a curated record
UUCUCCCUAUUCUCUCGACAUGCACACUGUCCACAUCAGCGGAUUGCCACGUCAUUUUUCAGUUUUUAAAAUCAUCCAAUCACUCUUAUUACCCUGCGGUCAAGGUGGUGGAAAAAAGACCUGCUUUUCCCCUCACCUGCCGCCCGCACGGCCGCCGGCCAUCCCGCACGAUCCACCCACCUCCAGCCCAGCGUCGGUGCUCACCGCUCAAAAAAAAACUUCCGAAAAUCCAGCCCUCUCCCCUCGAGGAAAAAAUACUACCAAAUCAACUUGGCAUUUAUGAUUCCCAACGCAGAGCCUCGCAUCUUCCCCACGAAACAGAUUCAACUUCCUCUUCGUCUUCUCCAACCUUCAUCAAAUCCCACUGUGUUAUUUUUUUGCAACCGAAACAGAUAGGGUGUGGCAGUGAGCGAUGGUGAAAGGAGUUCCUCCUCGGCGAUGAGGUACCCCGACGGCCGUCCCUGCCCUAUCUCCGGCAUUCCUAUCGUAGGUGCGCCAGCCAUGGAAGAACAGCGCCUUGCGGAGGAUGCUGUCGCGCUGGGAUCGGCCCCAGCCACCCUCGGCGAGUACCUCGCGGUCUCCUCAUGCAUAUGGCCAGACUCUCCUCGAAGCGCCCUCAUGUCCUUGCUCUGCUCCGGACCGUCCUAGCGCUGGCCGCCUCUGAUGCAUCAGACACGGUCAUCCCCGGCGCGGCCCAGUUCCAGCGUGAUCCAAAGGGGGAGCUCCCUCAUGUCGUUGCUGUGCGCCCUCAUUGUGGCGGCGGCCUCGGACGCGCCUGAUGCGGCAAUCACCAUCGCGCCUGAUGUGACCCUUUUCAAUCCCCUCCCGACCCUUUUCAAUCCCCUCCCCCCGCCUCCUCUACUAAAUUAGUCAAACCUUUUGUUGUUCAUAGUAGUAGUACUGAACUACUGAUCCUGAUCAUCUCCUCACGGCAUGGCCAUGAAUUCCAUUAAUUAAAUAAUUGACGGCAUGGCUUCUUCUUUCAUGUAACUGUGCAGGUUUAUAGUGAACUCACUAGAACUCCCAUUGUCUAAGUCUGCGUAAUCCCAUCAACAAGUUGAUAGGUUUGGUAAAACUCCAAGCAUGUGUAUUGAUUAUUGAGAGGUUCGUUUCAGUGCAAUUUCCUUUUUGGACCAAAA